GACGAACGCUGGCGGCGUGCUUAACACAUGCAAGUCGAGCGGUAAGGCCCUUUCGGGGGUACACGAGCGGCGAACGGGUGAGUAACACGUGGGUGACCUGCCCUCAGCUCUGGGGAUAAGCCUGGGAAACCGGGUCUAAUACCGGAUAUGACUCCAUGACGCAUGUUGUGGGGUGGAAAGCCUUGUGCGGCUGAGGAUGGGCCCGCGGCCUAUCAGCUUGUUGGUGGGGUGAUGGCCUACCAAGGCGACGACGGGUAGCCGGCCUGAGAGGGCGACCGGCCACACUGGGACUGAGACACGGCCCAGACUCCUACGGGAGGCAGCAGUGGGGAAUCUUGCGCAAGUGGGCGAAAGCCUGACGCAGCGACGCCGCGU
RNAcentral lists this ribosomal RNA (375 nucleotides) under uncultured bacterium. RNAcentral describes it as "bacterial SSU rRNA". It matches the Rfam family "Bacterial small subunit ribosomal RNA", at positions 28 to 402 of the family's 1533-position model. The record is from RNAcentral.